GAACCUGCACACAGGUGCUGCAUGGCUGUCGUCAGCUCGUGUCGUGAGAUGUUGGGUUAAGUCCCGCAACGAGCGCAACCCUUGCCAUCAGUUGCUACGAAAGGGCACUCUGAUGGGACUGCCGGUGACAAACCGGAGGGAGGUGGGGAUGACGUCAAGUCCUCAUGGCCCUUACGGCCAGGGCUACACACGUGCUACAAUGGUCGGUACAAAGGGUUGCCAAGCCGCGAGGUGGAGCUAAUCCCAUAAAACCGAUCGUAGUCCGGAUCGCAGUCUGCAACUCGACUGCGUGAAGUCGGAAUCGCUAGUAAUCGUGAAUCAGAAUGUCACGGUGAAUACGUUCCCGGGCCUU
This 352-nucleotide ribosomal RNA is filed under the name uncultured Enterobacteriaceae bacterium. RNAcentral describes it as "bacterial SSU rRNA". It matches the Rfam family "Bacterial small subunit ribosomal RNA", at positions 1024 to 1382 of the family's 1533-position model. The record is from RNAcentral. Lineage: Bacteria; Pseudomonadati; Pseudomonadota; Gammaproteobacteria; Enterobacterales; Enterobacteriaceae.